AACGGCUGGCGGCGUGGAUAGACAUGCAGUCGAACGGGAUUAUUUUGGAGUAGCAAUACAGAAAUAAUUCAGUGGCGAACGGGUGCGUAACACGUGGGCAAUCUGCCGAAAAGUGGGGGAUAGCUCGCCGAAAGGCGAAUUAAUACCGCAUGUGGUGAGGGACGACAUCUUCCUGAAUCCAAAGCCGGGGCAACCUGGCGCUUUUUGAGGAGCCCGCGGCUAUCAGCUAGUUGGUGAGGUAACGGCCCACCAAGGCUAUGACGGUAGCUGGUCUGAGAGGACGACCAGUCACACUGGAACUGAGACACGGUCCAGACACCUACGGGUGGCAGCAGUCGAGAAUUUUUCUCAAUGGGGGAAACCCUGAAGGAGCGACGCCGCGUGGAGGAUGAAGGCUUUCGGGUUGUAAACUCCUGUCAUUUGAGAACAAGUGCCAACAAGUAACUACUGUUGGCUUGAUAGUACCAGAAGAGGAAGGGACGGCUAACUCUGUGCCAGCAGCCGCGGUAAUACAGAGGUCCCAAGCGUUGUUCGGAUUCAUUGGGCGUAAAGGGUGCGUAGGUGGCGCCGUAAGUCGGGUGUGAAAUUUCGGAGCUUAACUCCGAAACUGCAUUCGAUACUGCGGUGCUUGAGGACUGGAGAGGAGACUGGAAUUCAUGGUGUAGCAGUGAAAUGCGUAGAGAUCAUGA
Molecule: ribosomal RNA, 689 nt
Filed under: uncultured bacterium
Lineage: Bacteria
Description: bacterial SSU rRNA
Rfam family: Bacterial small subunit ribosomal RNA
Source: RNAcentral